This 76-nucleotide non-coding RNA is filed under the name Favella ehrenbergii. The record is from RNAcentral. Lineage: Eukaryota; Ciliophora; Spirotrichea; Tintinnida; Xystonellidae.
GGGUAGAUGCUCGCGAACUCCGUAUGCGAAAAGUCGAGGUGAGAGCUCACUGAAAUGUAGGUAGUGUUCGUGAUGU